UUUGCCUUGUCAAAUUGGCCCAAUUUGUAUCUACAGAGACCUAUUCCAAGCCUUACUGCAGCAGGACAGUCAGGAUACACUUGCAAGGCCCUCUUAUAUAGCUCCAGUGAAUCAGAAUAUCGUCCACGGCUAAACUGAACACAGGCCUGACCCAGGAGAGCAGGAACAUUAUCACGAUCUCCAUCAAGUACAAUCUUGAAAGCAGCAAAUGCCUGUUCUAUAUCGCCCUUGGCAAGUAAAAGCUGACCUUUCCCAACCCACGUGGAGGGCUCGUGCAUGUCAAUUCUGGAUGCUUUAUUAUAAUAUUGAGUUGCCAUUAUAAAGUGCUCUUCCUUUUCUCUUUGUUUUGUCUCAAUCUUCCCAAGAUAACUGUAAUAUGCACCUAAUGCAUUUAGAAUGGCAAUCCUCUCAUACCUCACAUCUGCAUAAUAUUCAUCAAUCUCUGGGCUAGACCCUUCUUCCAAGAUUUGCCGAA
RNAcentral lists this unclassified non-coding RNA (475 nucleotides) under Hevea brasiliensis (rubber tree). The record is from RNAcentral. Lineage: Eukaryota; Viridiplantae; Streptophyta; Magnoliopsida; Malpighiales; Euphorbiaceae.